UACAGAGGGAGCAAGCGUUAUCCGGAAUGAUUGGGCGUAAAGCGUCUGUAGGUGGUCCGAAAAGUCUAAUGUCAAAUCCAUUGGCUCAACCGAAGGCAGGCAUUGGAGUACUAUUGGACUAGAGUGCGGAAGAGGUAGAGGGAAUCCCUAGCGUAACAGUGAAAUGUGUAGAUUUUAGGGAGAACACCAGCGGCGAAGGCGCUCUACUGGGCCGAGACUGACACUGAGAGACGAAAGCUACGGGAGCGAAAAGG
Molecule: ribosomal RNA, 254 nt
Filed under: uncultured prokaryote
Description: partial 16S ribosomal RNA
Rfam family: Bacterial small subunit ribosomal RNA
Source: RNAcentral